GUUUACAAGCACACAAGCCUGAACAUUCCUGAUCUCAUCUGAUCUCAGAAGCUAAGCAUGGUUGACCCUGGUUAGUACUUGGAAGGAGACUGUAGAAUGUUUUAAAGCCAGGUAGUGUGAUUC
This 123-nucleotide ribosomal RNA is filed under the name Dasypus novemcinctus (nine-banded armadillo). Lineage: Eukaryota; Metazoa; Chordata; Mammalia; Cingulata; Dasypodidae. The record is from RNAcentral.